GGGGGGAGCACCGGAUCUUGAGCUGUGUCCCCGGUGCCCUGGGCUCCCUGGCCUGCGCUGUUGGAAUCGCACUCCCUGCUGCGCCGCUCCCU
RNAcentral lists this microRNA precursor (92 nucleotides) under Canis lupus familiaris (dog). Its description in RNAcentral is "mir-8799 microRNA precursor family". It matches the Rfam family "mir-8799 microRNA precursor family". The record is from Rfam by way of RNAcentral. Lineage: Eukaryota; Metazoa; Chordata; Mammalia; Carnivora; Canidae.